RNAcentral lists this ribosomal RNA (439 nucleotides) under uncultured bacterium. RNAcentral's name for it is "bacterial SSU rRNA". It matches the Rfam family "Bacterial small subunit ribosomal RNA", at positions 338 to 769 of the family's 1533-position model. The record is from RNAcentral.
CCUACGGGGGGCAGCAGUAGGGAAUCUUCGGCAAUGGACGAAAGUCUGACCGAGCAACGCCGCGUGAGUGAAGAAGGUUUUCGGAUCGUAAAACUCUGUUGUUAGAGAAGAACAAGGACGUUAGUAACUGAACGUCCCCUGACGGUAUCUAACCAGAAAGCCACGGCUAACUACGUGCCAGCAGCCGCGGUAAUACGUAGGUGGCAAGCGUUGUCCGGAUUUAUUGGGCGUAAAGCGAGCGCAGGCGGUUUCUUAAGUCUGAUGUGAAAGCCCCCGGCUCAACCGGGGAGGGUCAUUGGAAACUGGGAGACUUGAGUGCAGAAGAGGAGAGUGGAAUUCCAUGUGUAGCGGUGAAAUGCGUAGAUAUAUGGAGGAACACCAGUGGCGAAGGCGGCUCUCUGGUCUGUAACUGACGCUGAGGCUCGAAAGCGUGGGGAGC